UGAGUACGAGAUGCUACGGCAUCGAAGCAGUCUAUGUCAUACUUCCAAGAAAAGCUUGCACUGUCAUAAACAAAGAAUGCCUGUACCAUAACCGACACAGGUGGGUAGGUAGAGUAUACUAAGGGGCGCGAGAUAACUCUCUCUAAGGAACUCGGCAAAAUGACUCCGUAACUUCGGGAGAAGGAGUGCCUUAUUUCUAAGGUUGCAAUAACAAGAUCCAAGCAACUGUUUACCAAAAACACAGGUCUCCGCUAAGUCGUAAGACGAUGUAUGGGGGCUGACGCCUGCCCAGUGCCAGAAGGUUAAAGAAGUUGGUUAGCAUUAGCGAAGCUGAUAACUGAAGCCCUGGUGAACGGCGGCCGUAACGAUAACGGUCCUAAGGUAGCGAAAUUCCUUGUCGGGUAAGUUCCGACCCGCACGAAAGGCGUAAUGAUUUGGAUACUGUCUCGGAGAGGGGCUCGGUGAAAUAGACUUGUCUGUGAAGAUGCGGACUACCUGCACCUGGACAGAAAGACCCUAUGAAGCUUUACUGUAACUUGAGAUUGAAAUUGGACUUUAUUUGCGCAGUAUAGGUGGGAGGCGUUGAGAAUAAUCUUGCGGGAUUGUUGGAGCCAUCAGUGAGAUACCACUCUUGUAAUGUUAGAUUUCUAACUUUGUAUCAUUAUCUGGUCAAAGAACAGUUUCAGGCGGGCAGUUUGACUGGGGCGGUCGCCUCCCAAAGGGUAACGGAGGCGCACAAAGGUUUCCUCUGAACGGGUAGAAAUCGUAUCUAGAGUGUAAAGGCAUAAGGAAGCUUGACUGUGAGACCUACAAGUCGAGCAGGGACGAAAGUCGGUCUUAGUGAUCUGACGGUGCUGAGUGGAAAGGCCGUCACUCAACGGAUAAAAGUUACUCUAGGAUAACAGGCUGAUCUCCCCCAAGAGUUCACAUCGACGGGGAGGUUUGGCACCUCGAUGUCGGCUCAUCGCAUCCUGGGGCGGUAGUCCGUCCCAAGGGUUGGGCUGUUCGCCCAUGAAAGCGGUACGCGAGCUGGGUUCAGAACGUCGUGAGACAGUUCGGUCCAUAUCCGGUGUAGGCGUUAGAAUAUUGAGAGGAGCCUUCUCUAGUACGAGAGGACCGAGAAGGACAUACCUCUGGUGUACCAGUUAUCGUGCCAACGGUAAACGCUGGGUAGCUAUGUAUGGAGUGGAUAACCGCUGAAAGCAUCUAAGUGGGAAGCCCACCUCAAGAUAAGUAUUCU
This 1240-nucleotide ribosomal RNA is filed under the name metagenome. RNAcentral describes it as "bacterial LSU rRNA". It matches the Rfam family "Bacterial large subunit ribosomal RNA", at positions 1564 to 2814 of the family's 2925-position model. The record is from RNAcentral.